CCUACGGGGAGCUGCAGUGGGGAAUAUUGCGCAAUGGGCGAAAGCCUGACGCAGCGACGCCGCGUGAGGGAUGAAGGUCUUCGGAUCGUAAACCUCUGUCAGCAGGGAAGAACGGUCACUGUGCUAAUCAGCCGUGAAUUGACGGUACCUGCAAAGGAAGCACCGGCUAACUCCGUGCCAGCAGCCGCGGUAAUACGGAGGGGGCGAGCGUUGAUCGGAAUUACUGGGCGGAAAGCGCUCGUAGGCGGUAUGUCAAGUCUAGGGUGAAAUCCGCGCGCUGAACGUGGGAACUGCAUUUGAAACUGGGAAACUUGAGUGGGUGAGAGGAUAGUGGAAUUCGAGGUGUAGGAGUGAAAUGCGUAGAUAUCUGGAGGAACAUCAGUGGCGAAGGCGACUAUCUGGCACAUAACUGACGCUGAGGAGCGAAAGCGUGGGUAGCAAACAGGAUUAGAUACCCGUGUAGUC
This 465-nucleotide ribosomal RNA is filed under the name uncultured bacterium. RNAcentral describes it as "partial 16S ribosomal RNA". It matches the Rfam family "Bacterial small subunit ribosomal RNA", at positions 338 to 795 of the family's 1533-position model. The record is from RNAcentral.